This 398-nucleotide ribosomal RNA is filed under the name uncultured microorganism. RNAcentral describes it as "bacterial SSU rRNA". It matches the Rfam family "Archaeal small subunit ribosomal RNA", at positions 330 to 735 of the family's 1478-position model. The record is from RNAcentral.
GUGCACCAGGCGCGAAACUUUACAAUGUGCGAAAGCACGAUAAGGGAACUCUGAGUGCCUCCUAAGGAGGCUGUUCAGGUGUCUAAAAGCACCUGAAGGAAGGGCUGGGUAAGACCGGUGCCAGCCGCCGCGGUAACACCGGCAGCCCAAGUGGUAGCCACGUUUAUUGGGUCUAAAGCGUCCGUAGCCGGCUGGGUAAGUUCCUUGGGAAAUUUGGCUGCUUAACAGUCAAGCUUUCAGGGAAUACUGCCCGGCUUGGGACCGGGAGAGGUCAGAGGUACUCCAGGGGUAGGGGUGAAAUCCAUUAAUCCUUGGGGGACCACCGGUAGCGAAGGCGUCUGACCAGACCGGGUCCGACGGUGAGGGACGAAGGCUAGGGGCGCGAACCGGAUUAGAUA